GACGAACGCUGGCGGCGUGCUUAACACAUGCAAGUCGAACGGAAAGGCCCUGCUUUUGUGGGGUGCUCGAGUGGCGAACGGGUGAGUAACACGUGAGUAACCUGCCCUUGACUUUGGGAUAACUUCAGGAAACUGGGGCUAAUACCGUAUAGGAGCUCCUGCUGCAUUGUGGGGGUUGGAAAGUUUCGGCUGUUGGGGAUGGACUCGCGGCUUAUCAGCUUGUUGGUGGGGUAGUGGCUUACCAAGGCUUUGACGGGUAGCCGGCCUGAGAGGGUGACCGGCCACAUUGGGACUGAGAUACGGCGCAGACUCCUACGGGAGGCAGUAGUGGGGAAUAUUGCACAAUGGGCGGAAGCCUGAUGCAGCAACGCCGCGUGCGGGAUGACGGCCUUUGGGUUGUAAACCGCUUUCGCCUGUGACGAAGCGUGAGUGACGGUAAUGGGUAAAGAAGCACCGGCUAACUACGUG
RNAcentral lists this ribosomal RNA (468 nucleotides) under uncultured bacterium. RNAcentral's name for it is "partial 16S ribosomal RNA". It matches the Rfam family "Bacterial small subunit ribosomal RNA", at positions 28 to 507 of the family's 1533-position model. The record is from RNAcentral.